This 23-nucleotide non-coding RNA is filed under the name Arabidopsis thaliana (thale cress). The record is from RNAcentral. Lineage: Eukaryota; Viridiplantae; Streptophyta; Magnoliopsida; Brassicales; Brassicaceae.
UUUGCACCGGUGCUGCCGAGUGA